AAACCUGGAAAUAGCUGGUUCUCUCCGAAAACUAUUUAGGUAGUGCCUCGUGUCUCACUUCGGGGGUAGAGCACUGUCAUGGUUGGGGGGUCUAUUGCAGAUUACCCCGCCAUAGCAAACUCCGAAUACCGAAGAGUGCAAUCACGGGAGACAGACAUCGGGUGCUAACGUCCGGUGUCAAGAGGGAAACAACCCAGACCGCCAGCUAAGGUCCCCAAAUAUGGCUAAGUGGGAAACGAAGUGGGAAGGCUAAAACAGUCAGGAGGUUGGCUUAGAAGCAGCCACCCUUUAAAGAAAGCGUAAUAGCUCACUGAUCGAGUCGUCCUGCGCGGAAGAUGUAACGGGGCUAAGCCAUAUACCGAAGCUGCGGAUGCGAGCUAGUCUCGCAUGGUAGGAGAGCGUUCCGUAAGCCUGCGAAGGUGCGUUGAAAAGCGUGCUGGAGGUAUCGGAAGUGCGAAUGCUGACAUGAGUAGCGAUAAAGGGGGUGAAAGGCCCCCUCGCCGUAAGCCCAAGGUUUCCUACGCAACGUUCAUCGGCGUAGGGUGAGUCGGCCCCUAAGGCGAGGCAGAAAUGCGUAGCUGAUGGGAAGCAGGUCAAUAUUCCUGCACCAUUGUUAGAUGCGAUGGGGGGACGGAUCGCGGAAGGUUGUCCGGGUGUUGGAAGUCCCGGUCGCUGCAUUGGAGAAGGCGCUUAGGCAAAUCCGGGCGCAGGAUUCAAGGGUGUGGCGCGAGCUCCUUCGGGAGCGAAGCAAUUGGAAGUGGUUCCAAGAAAAGCCUCUAAGCUUCAGUCUAACGAUGACCGUACCGCAAACCGACACAGGUGGGCGAGAUGAGUAUUCUAAGGCGCUUGAGAGAACUCGGGAGAAGGAACUCGGCAAAUUGGUACCGUAACUUCGGGAUAAGGUACGCCCUGGUAGCUUGACUGGCCUGCGCCAGAAGGGUGAAGGGGUUGCAAUAAACUGGUGGCUGCGACUGUUUAAUAAAAACACAGCACUCUGCAAACACGAAAGUGGACGUAUAGGGUGUGACGCCUGCCCGGUGCCGGAAGAUUAAAUGAUGGGGUGCAAGCUCUUGAUUGAAGUCCCGGUAAACGGCGGCCGUAACUAUAACGGUCCUAAGGUAGCGAAAUUCCUUGUCGGGUAAGUUCCGACCUGCACGAAUGGCGUAACGAUGGCCACACUGUCUCCUCCCGAGACUCAGCGAAGUUGAAGUGUUUGUGAUGAUGCAAUCUACCCGCGGCUAGACGGAAAGACCCCAUGAACCUUUACUGUAGCUUUGCAUUGGACUUUGAACCGAUCUGUGUAGGAUAGGUGGGAGGCUAUGAAACCGGAACGCUAGUUUCGGUGGAGCCGUCCUUGAAAUACCACCCUGGUUUGUUUGAGGUUCUAACCUUGGCCCGUGAUCCGGGUCGGGGACAGUGCAUGGUAGGCAGUUUGACUGGGGCGGUCUCCUCCCAAAGCGUAACGGAGGAGUACGAAGGUACGCUAGGUACGGUCGGAAAUCGUGCUGAUAGUGCAAUGGCAUAAGCGUGCUUAACUGCGAGACCGACAAGUCGAGCAGGUGCGAAAGCAGGUCAUAGUGAUCCGGUGGUUCUGUAUGGAAGGGCCAUCGCUCAACGGAUAAAAGGUACUCUGGGGAUAACAGGCUGAUACCGCCCAAGAGUUCAUAUCGACGGCGGUGUUUGGCACCUCGAUGUCGGCUCAUCUCAUCCUGGGGCUGUAGCCGGUCCCAAGGGUAUGGCUGUUCGCCAUUUAAAGAGGUACGUGAGCUGGGUUUAAAACGUCGUGAGACAGUUUGGUCCCUAUCUGCCGUGGGCGUUGGAAGUUUGAAGGGGGCUGCUCCUAGUACGAGAGGACCGGAGUGGACGAACCUCUGGUGUACCGGUUGUGACGCCAGUCGCAUCGCCGGGUAGCUAUGUUCGGAAGAGAUAACCGCUGAAAGCAUCUAAGCGGGAAACUCGCCUUAAGAUGAGACUUCCCCGGGGACUUGAUCCCCUUGAAGGGUCGUUCGAGACCAGGACGUUGAUAGGUCGGGUGUGUAAGCGCAGUAAUGCGUUCAGCUAACCGAUACUAAUUGCCCGUACGGCUUGAUCCU
Molecule: ribosomal RNA, 2093 nt
Filed under: Burkholderia pseudomallei 406e
Lineage: Bacteria; Pseudomonadati; Pseudomonadota; Betaproteobacteria; Burkholderiales; Burkholderiaceae
Description: bacterial LSU rRNA
Rfam family: Bacterial large subunit ribosomal RNA
Source: RNAcentral